Molecule: ribosomal RNA, 238 nt
Filed under: uncultured bacterium
Lineage: Bacteria
Description: partial 16S ribosomal RNA
Rfam family: Bacterial small subunit ribosomal RNA
Source: RNAcentral
CGUUAAUCGGAAUUACUGGGCGUAAAGCGUGCGCAGGCGGUUUUGUAAGCCAGAUGUGAAAUCCCCGGGCUUAACCUGGGAAUGGCAUUUGGGACUGCAAGGCUCGAGUGCGGCAGAGGAGACUGGAAUUCCUGGUGUAGCAGUGAAAUGCGUAGAUAUCAGGAGGAACACCGAUGGCGAAGGCAGGUCUCUGGGCUGACACUGACGCUCAUGCACGAAAGCGUGGGGAGCAAACAGG